AUCUGUCACUGCAUAUUUCCAGGCCCAGGUCAGACUCAGGCAAGUAUGGCUUUCUCCCCUCUCCACACCCUGGUCUCCUGCACCCAUGAAGCUGCCGACCCAGUUUCUGAUGGGAAAGUGAGGAUCUCUGCGCAAAGUCAGAUGAGAGGAGAGGAAGCCAACACUGUGCUGCCUUAACAUAACGCAGACACGACCCUCCUUCUGAGCGAGGGGUGAGGAACCUGGGCCUUCCCACUCAGAGCGUUUGGAACAAACUCCCAAAAUACCAGAGGCUCAGUACGAACCUCCUUUGCUGUCACCAGGAGGAAGGAUGAAUCAUACCCAACACGCGAUUUCCCUCGUCCCCAAACACUGCAUGGAUACUUACAUUUAGUGGCAUUUUACAUGUGCGAGGUAUUUUUUAAGAAAUUCUUUUCUCUCUGUCUUUUUUUCUAAACCAAAACACCAGCUGUAAAACCCACGGCUUCCUUCCCCUCUAGGUCUGCCGCGGUAGGAGGCGGCAGCGGCAGACGGCCGGCCCCCUGUGCUCUGAGUCAGGCCUCCCUCUCGGCGGCUUGCUGCCUGCAAAACAAACUUAAAAGCUGGUGAAUGGCACUUAGGGGCCCACAAGCACGCAGGGAGGCCUAAAAUAUUUGCAGAGCACACACUCUGCUCACAGAAUGAAAGGCCACUAUGUAAAUAGCUGGGCUCCGUCGGGGUGAGGCAUCUUCAAAGCGGCUUCUGCUUGUCACAUCAAGCCAGCAAGGAUGCAAAGACAUUCAUUCAAAAGCAGCACGCAGGAACCACACCACGACUUCCUGGCCCCAAAAGGUAGACUCAGAAAGGGACCACAGCCUGGAGUCCCGUGUUUCUUUUCCUCGCCCUUUCUCCUGCGCUGCACAGUGCACAGGGUGGUUUUGUGAGAUGGCUUACAAUGUCAGCUUUCAGGGCUGGGCAGACAUGAUCAGUUUUCUCUCCUCUGGCAGGGGAAGGCUUUUCUGGAAGACGCUCACAAGGCAACCAUAGUUACUAAUGGAGCAUGGCAAAGCAUGAGACAGAGGUAGUUAUUACCCAGGCUUGACAAAAAAAAGGAACGUGGGAUGGUUUUUGCAUCAAGCCACAAAUACUAAUUCCAAAGACUCCCAGCAACAAUGACCGUGAUUUCCAGCAUGCACCACAGUGCAAGAAUGGCUAAAGGUGUGCACUGUUUCUUCAGAUCUUUAAUUGCUGGAGGAACCUCAACUGGUACAAAAGGUUUCCGGAAUACAGGAGGAGCUGGGGAAAGGACUAGCAUUUCAAAGCACCUACUAUGUACUGCGCUGUAACUGCAGCAUAUCAUUUGACCUUCCCGACGUGCCGGGGACAGAGGACUGUCACUUUUGAGCAUCCAAAGAGUCCACAUGGAAGGGAAAGUGGGCCAAACGUCACUCUGAGGAGACCGGGGGUCUUGCCGUCUUAACCACUGUUUGCAGUGAGAAACGGUCUACCAAACGCCACACACACCCACCCGAGGUUCCGCAGGAAUUGGUGGAAAAUACCUCACAAGCAGCGCAGCUGUUCCCUCUGAGGAGCACGCGUGGGGGAGGCCAGGCCUGGGAAGAGGGGGUGUUCCCGGGGCUGUGACACACAGCAUUCCUUUCCCUUGAAGCAUCCAAGCCCGAGAAGCUGCAGUCUCCCCCGGGGACUAUGACACAGCCACGGCCGGGAAGGGCCUCACCAAAACAGCGUCCACGCGUCCUUCUCCAGAGGAAACCCCUUCCCAGGCUGUGUGCGAGAACUCUCGCAUGUGCCAAGGCUCUACCGCCCCUCCCACCCUUCUGCCAGACAAAUACCCCAAAGUCAGCGGUCUGAUAGGAUGUGUUUAUAUUUACAUGGUACAUCUUAAAGCAAUGGCUACAUUGGUCAUACAUAUUAGAAACCAUAAAAAAAAGUUAAGAACUAAAAUGUACAUCAUACACUUGUAUAUAUAUUUUUUACACAGAGGUAAAAAGGCUUAUUAUAAAAAAAUCAAUACAACAGGUUUUUUUUUUUUUAGUAUACAGGUGAAGAAUGAAUUAUGCUUCAGGCACUUUAAUUUGUUAAUGUGAGCAAAUAGCUGGGGGGUGGGGGGUGGUCAGAGGAAGCUUCCAAACAAAUCUUUUGGUUAAUGUUUUGUUACCACAGAUACAAAAAUAAAAUCUGAAUAAUUUCUCUCAAAUGAUUGACGUCAGUAUGGCAAAGCUGACUGGGAAAAUACUACACACUGUUCAGCUGCAGUGUGGCAGUUAGAGAGAAACGUAUUUACAUAAAUGUCCCCAUGGCUGUCCUUGUGCCCUUAACCGCUGCCUUCACAAACCAAAACGUAUAUGCGAAGUAAGAUUCACUAGCAUAACUCUUCAAAAGGGUGGAAAAGGACAAGGGGUAAAAAAGAUAGAAACAACAAGUAAAUAGAGACUACAAACAAAAAGUGGCGGGGACAUGUGUAUUCUUACUGAAAUAAAUAGGGGCACUCGGAACUGAGGUCUAACAAAACAUACAUUAGUGUUGUGCUUUGUAGAGAGGAGACCUUGAGAAAGGCCCUGAGGAAAUACCUCAGGAUUGGAGAGUGGGGGGCAAUGGCCUCUCGACAGCAUCUGGAGGCCGGCUGAAGGUUUUCUAGAUGUUUUCCAGACUGGGAAGCAGUUCUUUUUUCUUCCAUCACCAGACUGACAGCUCUCUGCAACUUUUCCAAACUGGAAGGCCACACCAUUCACUCCAACAUAUGAAAAUGUCUACCAACUAACUCGUAAGCACACUGGGUAUUUACAUCGACGAUCUGACUAAAGAAAGGCGGCGGGUGCUCAGAUGAGCUGAAAAUGUUCCAUGAAGGUAAGCAUGGCUCGUACUUUCCCAAUAUGAUUGGCAGACUGGAAAAAAGUCUCUUUCCUUGAAGACUGAUGCCCUGUGUGCAACAGAGAAGGGAUGGGGGGAAGCGGAGACACAGACAGCAGGCUGUGCCCUGAGCUGGCAACUACCACAGGAAGAUCAUGGCGGGAAGAACGGCCAACUUUGACAAGCCUGUCCCUUAUGGUCUCCAUGACGUUCUGAUUGUACUAUGCUAGGUACCACUCACUCUUCACUUUUCUUUCUGGGACAAGAUUUGGCUACUCCUUGCAAUAGACUGGGAAAAUACUCUUUUCCAGCUAAUUAGAAGCCUCCUACAUGGCCAGGUGACAGGUAGACCCAGACUGCUGACCUAACCAUCUGUGCACCCAAAUUGGCAAGUCUGGGUUUUUGAGAUGCAGGAGAAAGACACUUAGGCAUUGGAAGGGUUUUUACAUAUGGCCUUGUUUUUUUCCCCCAAGUAUAAACAAAGCAUUUGGUGACGUGAGAUUCAGUCCAGGAUGAAAACAAGAACAGAAACCCACAAACAAAAUGCAACCCACCACUCUUCAAAUUUAUGACAUUUAAAAUUUCCCCCCAUUAAGAGAAAAUAGCCAGUGGGGGUGUGGGAGGAAGCUCCUUCUAAUUUUCUUUACCACAACUUCAGUGUUUCUCAACUGGAACUCUUUGGAGAACACUGGUUUGUGUGUGAAUAGUCUAUCUCGUUUGCAAAACAAUGAGCAGAACUUCAUUAGUGUUUUCUUCUAAUAUUGCUAAAUUUUUAGACGUGGUGGUGACACAGUUUUAAAAAGUUCUACUUUAGGGGUAACUGGGGAAGCUCAGACAAACCUGAAAUCCCCUUUUUCUACCCCUGGUCUAAGAGGAUGCAAUGCAGUUUAUGGAAUUUCCUGAUCCACACAAGUUAAUCUGAAGUUAAGGCUCAAUUCUCAUUUUUGUGGGUGAAUGUUUUGCAUCAGUAAAUAAUUGUCAGGUUUUUGGGGGGAGGGCACAGGAAAUGUUUAUGGGCUCCAAAGAGAAACUGCAGCUUACUUGGCAAAUUUGGGUUUACAAAAGUUAAAGCGAUCUUGUUUUGUGGUAGACGUUUGUUAACUAGCUCACCUCCUAUACAUAAUCUGACUGCAGGUUCCAAUACUUCCGGUAGGGUUUCAUCAUUCUGACGUUACCUAUCUGCAGGAAUCCGCUGCUCCUUAGCAACCGGCAAGCCGACCCAUGAGCAAGAUCUCCUAGAAAACCAACUACAAAACCCACCCCAAAUCAGCAGUUCCGACUGCAGGUGCCUCUGCGCUGGAAGAGGUGGGUAGGAAAGACAUGAAAUCAACACAUGUAUAAGACAGUUAGCUUGAUUACAGAUUGGUAAUAGUACACAAGUGUCUGUGCGGAGGUUCCUUUCCUUAGAACACCGUGUGCCUGCGUGUAUGGGUGUGUGGUUGACGCAGAGUGGGUGGCUGGUGGGGGCUGCGUGGGGAGAGGGGAAAGUGCAGAGUUCACCAGGCGGGCUCCCCAGGCUGGAAUAGCGCCUCAAGGUACCAGGGAGCAAGAAAGAAGGUGAGAGUAUGUCAGAGACAAGUUCCCCUGUGGCUGUGGGAGGAGGAAGGGAGGGAGGGAAACUGAGUCACACGGCCGCUUUGUGCUUCCCCCCGCAGCACCUGCACAUCACCCCGCAGUGGUAGCAGGCCCGCAGGGGCAGGUAACAGCACAUACAGGGGGCCAGGAAAGACAAGGCAAUAAGAGCCAUCCACCGGAGGCAAAACUUCUCGUCGCUAGUAUCGCACGAGCACGGGUCUGUAUAGUCUCCCUCGGGGUCCGACAUACAGUGAUAGAGCAUGCUGUCCGCACACCACAUACAGCUCACCCGGCGGAUGCAAGUUCUCACAGAGUCGGGCGCGUCCUGACAGUGGCCCCUCCGGUUUUCCUCGUGGUUGAACAUGUCCCUGCAGUACUCGCACCGGGAGCGCUCGCCGUCCUCCUUCCGCCUCCGGGACUUGCCCCGGGACGGCUGGGUCUUGAUCACGCCGCCCCCGCGCCCUUUGGGGUCCUCGCCGAGGCCGAAGUCCGAGGAGUCCACGUAGGGGUAAUUGUAGUCGUGCUUGGGGACCUCGCCCUUGGCGAACCGCACGUAGGAGUCGGCGUCCUCGGAGGCGUCGGGGGAUUUGCCCCGCACUGGCGCGUGCCGGUAGUCCUCGUAGCCGGUCAGCCAGAUCUUCUCCCUGGGGUUGAUGCGCACAAUCUCCUCGUCGUCGUCUGGGAAGCUCACCUGGCGGUAAGGCCUUGGCAUCGGCUGCCCGGGGGGAAAAGGAGACAUGGUUGUAUUGCCGCGCCGAAAAGAGAUAAAACGCUCCACUAGGUACCUUUCGCCUUGACAAAGACAUUUCUGGAAGAAACUCACUGCUCCUAUAACUACUGAACAUCCCCUGGGUUGAAGGUGUAUUUCAAAUUGUGAUCCUUGAUCCAUUCCUGGGUCAGGAGAUCUUUUUUCCCUUUUGUGGAAGUACUACCAUAGAGGGGGGAAAGUGUGCGUAUGGGAAAAAAUGCACUCUGAAUUUUCGACAGCUAAACACACCUAGCUCAAGAAGCAGAACUUGAGAGACCUCCCUAGGACACUGCCCCCCUCCCUUGAGUUCCCUUCUACGCCUCAGGGGUGGGAGGACCACUAUCCUGAUUUCUAACAGAUUAGUUUCACCUGUUAUUGUACAGUGUGUUCUUUUCUAAGACCCGCUUUUCUCCCAAUGAAACAAAAAUACUGGAGUGCACUGCAUGUUCCAAGGGUAGCAUAUGUGGGUUAUCUGUGUGUAGGGAAUAUCUGCAUUCCAGGUCACAAUACAAGAUGCAUUUUGCACCGUGGGUCAUGUUCAAAAUAGCAAAAAGGGAUACCAGCAGCUAUGAUACAAGUACCUUGUCAUCUGGUUGGAAAAUAUAGAAAGGGUAGGAGUGCCGAUCUGGAGGCGGACUGCCUGGGUUUGAAUCCCACCAGGAUCUCACAGAUGGUCAAGCGCAAGCUGGAAUGCGAGCUCAGGCAAGCUGGACCGUAGAGCCAUGCUCCCUUGCCUUCAAAGCCCCCAGAUCUGCAUUCUCCCCCCCAGGGUGACACCGGCAUCUCUGUGGGUCGGUAAGGCUGCCUCCCCCGGAGCACCCUCGUGGCAGUGUGAGAUCUUCUACUCCUGAGGUCCUCCGAACGGCUCUGAGGGAGCCCACCAGAGUAAAGCCGCAGACUCAGAUUCUCUCUCAGCACAGGGCUACCUCGAGAACGACGAGAAUCUGUGCAGCGUGCACACACAACUGUCACACAGGAUGCGGCUGACACCUGUUGCCAUUACCGUGAUGAGAAUAUUGCCAUAGAAUUUAUCUCAUGGCAAUUACAUUUAUCCAUCACUCCCACCAGACUGUGAGCUCCUAGAGGGCAGGGGCCAUGCCUCACACAUGUUGCCUAAUUCUUGUUAGAUUCUUGACAGUUUCACAGAAAAUCACAAUCUUAGAUUAAUAAAAACAAAUCUUGGGAGCAGAAA
Felis catus (domestic cat) is the source of this 6344-nucleotide long non-coding RNA. RefSeq lists it as uncharacterized. NCBI's taxonomy places the organism in Eukaryota, Metazoa, Chordata, Mammalia, Carnivora, Felidae. The transcript has 4 exons. The record is from RefSeq and is a predicted model, not a curated record.